RNAcentral lists this unclassified non-coding RNA (586 nucleotides) under Curvularia intermedia. Its description in RNAcentral is "sequence contains ITS1, 5.8S rRNA gene and ITS2". The stretch from base 203 to 356 matches the Rfam family "5.8S ribosomal RNA". Lineage: Eukaryota; Fungi; Ascomycota; Dothideomycetes; Pleosporales; Pleosporaceae. The record is from RNAcentral.
CAUUACACAAAAAAUAUGAAGGCUGUAUGCGGCUGUGUCUCUUUCGGGGGGCCAGCUUUUGCGGAGGCUGAAAUAUUUUUCACCCAUGUCUUUUGCGCACUUGUUGUUUCCUGGGCGGGUUUCGCCCGCCACCAGGACCACACCAUAAACCUUUUUUAUGCAGUUGCAAUCAGCGUCAGUAUAACAAAUGUAAAUCAUUUACAACUUUCAACAACGGAUCUCUUGGUUCUGGCAUCGAUGAAGAACGCAGCGAAAUGCGAUACGUAGUGUGAAUUGCAGAAUUCAGUGAAUCAUCGAAUCUUUGAACGCACAUUGCGCCCUUUGGUAUUCCAAAGGGCAUGCCUGUUCGAGCGUCAUUUGUACCUUCAAGCUUUGCUUGGUGUUGGGCGUCUUUUUUUUGUCUUGGGCCUUUUUGUGCCCUGAGACUCGCCUUAAAACGAUUGGCAGCCGGCCUACUGGUUUCGGAGCGCAGCACAUUUUUGCGCUUGCAAUCAGCAAAAGAGGCCAGCCAUCCAUCAAGACCAUUCUUCUCACUUUUGACCUCGGAUCAGGUAGGGAUACCCGCUGAACUUAAGCAUAUCAAUAA